RNAcentral lists this ribosomal RNA (253 nucleotides) under uncultured bacterium. RNAcentral's name for it is "partial 16S ribosomal RNA". It matches the Rfam family "Bacterial small subunit ribosomal RNA", at positions 524 to 776 of the family's 1533-position model. The record is from RNAcentral.
UACGUAGGGGUCGAGCGUUGUCCGGAUUUAUUGGGCGUAAAGAGCGUGUAGGCGGUCUGGUAGGUCCGUUGUGAAAACUCGAGGCUCAACCUCGAGACGCCGAUGGAAACCCUCAGACUAGAGUCCGGAAGAGGAGAGUGGAAUUCCUGGUGUAGCGGUGAAAUGCGCAGAUAUCAGGAAGAACACCCGUGGCUAAGGCGGCUCUCUAGUACGGUACUGACGCUGAGACGCGAAAGCGUGGGGAGCGAACAGG